This 1139-nucleotide ribosomal RNA is filed under the name Salmonella enterica subsp. enterica serovar Typhimurium. RNAcentral's name for it is "partial 23S ribosomal RNA". It matches the Rfam family "Bacterial large subunit ribosomal RNA", at positions 582 to 1637 of the family's 2925-position model. The record is from RNAcentral. Lineage: Bacteria; Pseudomonadati; Pseudomonadota; Gammaproteobacteria; Enterobacterales; Enterobacteriaceae.
CCCUUCGGGGUGUGACUGCGUACCUUUUGUAUAAUGGGUCAGCGACUUAUAUUCUGUAGCAAGGUUAACCGUAUAGGGGAGCCGGAGGGAAACCGAGUCUUAAUUGGGCGUUAAGUUGCAGGGUAUAGACCCGAAACCCGGUGAUCUAGCCAUGGGCAGGUUGAAGGUUGGGUAACACUAACUGGAGGACCGAACCGACUAAUGUUGAAAAAUUAGCGGAUGACCUGUGGCUGGGGGUGAAAGGCCAAUCAAACCGGGAGAUAGCUGGUUCUCCCCGAAAGCUAUUUAGGUAGCGCCUCGUGAAUUCAUCUCCGGGGGUAGAGCACUGUUUCGGCUAGGGGGCCAUCCCGGCUUACCAACCCGAUGCAAACUGCGAAUACCGGAGAAUGUUAUCACGGGAGACACACGGCGGGUGCUAACGUCCGUCGUGAAGAGGGAAACAACCCAGACCGCCAGCUAAGGUCCCAAAGUCAUGGUUAAGUGGGAAACGAUGUGGGAAGGCCCAGACAGCCAGGAUGUUGGCUUAGAAGCAGCCAUCAUUUAAAGAAAGCGUAAUAGCUCACUGGUCGAGUCGGCCUGCGCGGAAGAUGUAACGGGGCUAAACCAUGCACCGAAGCUGCGGCAGCGAACGUAUCACCCAAGACAACUUUACGGAGUUGACGAUUGACGGAGCGAAGCGACGUCAAAGCGUUCAUUAAAGUCGAGUUGGCUUAGGGAUACGUUCGUUGGGUAGGGGAGCGUUCUGUAAGCCUGUGAAGGUGUGUCGUGAGGCAUGCUGGAGGUAUCAGAAGUGCGAAUGCUGACAUAAGUAACGAUAAAGCGGGUGAAAAGCCCGCUCGCCGGAAGACCAAGGGUUCCUGUCCAACGUUAAUCGGGGCAGGGUGAGUCGACCCCUAAGGCGAGGCCGAAAGGCGUAGUCGAUGGGAAACGGGUUAAUAUUCCCGUACUUGGUGUUACUGCGAAGGGGGGACGGAGAAGGCUAUGUUGGCCGGGCGACGGUUGUCCCGGUUUAAGCGUGUAGGUGUGUGUUCCAGGUAAAUCCGGUUCACUUUAACACUGAGGCGUGACGACGAGGCACUACGGUGCUGAAGCAACAAAUGCCCUGCUUCCAGGAAAAGCCUCUAAGCAUCAGGUAACAC